AUACGUAGGUGACAAGCGUUAUCCGGAUUUACUGGGCGUAAAGGGCGUGUAGGCGGUCUUGCAAGUCAGAAGUGAAAUUCCUGAGCUCAACUCGGGCGCUGCUUCUGAAACUGCAGGACUUGAGUGCUGGAGGGGAUAGCGGAAUUCCUAGUGGAGCGGUAAAAUGCGCAGAUAUUAUGAAGAAAACCGGUGGCGAAGGCGGCUAUUUGGCAAGUAACUUAAGCUGAGGCGCGAAAGCGUGGGCAGCAAACAGGAUUAGAUCCACGGGUAUUCCACGCCGUAAACGAUGAAUUCUAUGUGUAGGGGGUAUCGACUCCCUCUGUGCCGCAGUUAACACAAUAAGUAUUCCGCCUGGUGAGUUCGGCCGCAAGGUUGAAACUCAAAGGAAUUGACGGGG
RNAcentral lists this ribosomal RNA (397 nucleotides) under uncultured bacterium. RNAcentral's name for it is "partial 16S ribosomal RNA". It matches the Rfam family "Bacterial small subunit ribosomal RNA", at positions 523 to 918 of the family's 1533-position model. The record is from RNAcentral.